GAUUAACGCUAGCGGCAGGCCUAAUACAUGCAAGUCGAACGGUAACAGGUGUAGCAAUACAUGCUGACGAGUGGCGCACGGGUGAGUAACACGUAUGCAAUCUGCCUUUAACUGGGGAACAACCCCUCGAAAGAGGGGCUAAUACCGCAUAACAUCACAGAACGGCAUCGUUUUGUGAGCAAACCUACGGGGGUUAAAGAUGAGCAUGCAGCUGAUUAGAGUUGGCGGGGUAACGGCCCACCAAGACUACGAUCAGUAGGGGAUCUGAGAGGAUGAUCCCCCACACGGGUACUGAGACACGGACCCGACUCCUACGGGAGGCAGCAGUAAGGAAUAUUGGACAAUGGAGGCAACUCUGAUCCAGCCAUGCCGCGUGAAGGAUGAAUGCGCU
Molecule: ribosomal RNA, 391 nt
Filed under: uncultured bacterium
Lineage: Bacteria
Description: bacterial SSU rRNA
Rfam family: Bacterial small subunit ribosomal RNA
Source: RNAcentral